GAUGAACGCUGGCGGCGUGCCUAAUACAUGCAAGUCGAGCGGACGGACGAGAAGCUUGCUUCUCUGAUGUUAGCGGCGGACGGGUGAGUAACACGUGGAUAACCUACCUAUAAGACUGGGAUAACUUCGGGAAACCGGAGCUAAUACCGGAUAAUAUUUUGAACCGCAUGGUUCAAAAGUGAAAGACGGUCUUGCUGUCACUUAUAGAUGGAUCCGCGCUGCAUUAGCUAGUUGGUAAGGUAACGGCUUACCAAGGCAACGAUGCAUAGCCGACCUGAGAGGGUGAUCGGCCACACUGGAACUGAGCCACGGUCCAGACUCCUACGGGAGGCAGCAGUAGGGAAUCUUCCGCAAUGGGCGAAAGCCUGACGGAGCAACGCCGCGUGAGUGAUGAAGGUCUUCGGAUCGUAAAACUCUGUUAUUAGGGAAGAACAUAUGUGUAAGUAACUGUGCACAUCUUGACGGUACCUAAUCAGAAAGCCACGGCUAACUACGUG
Molecule: ribosomal RNA, 497 nt
Filed under: uncultured bacterium
Lineage: Bacteria
Description: partial 16S ribosomal RNA
Rfam family: Bacterial small subunit ribosomal RNA
Source: RNAcentral